GACGAACGCUGGCGGCGUGCUUAACACAUGCAAGUCGAACGGAAAGGCCCUGCUUUUGUGGGGUGCUCGAGUGGCGAACGGGUGAGUAACACGUGAGUAACCUGCCCUUGACUUUGGGAUAACUUCAGGAAACUGGGGCUAAUACCGGAUAGGAGCUCCUGCUGCAUGGUGGGGGUUGGAAAGUUUCGGCGGUUGGGGAUGGACUCGCGGCUUAUCAGCUUGUUGGUGGGGUAGUGGCUUACCAAGGCUUUGACGGGUAGCCGGCCUGAGAGGGUGACCGGCCACAUUGGGACUGAGAUACGGCCCAGACUCCUACGGGAGGCAGCAGUGGGGAAUAUUGCACAAUAGGCGGAAGCCUGAUGCUGCAACGCCGCGUGCGGGAUGACGGCCUUCGGGUUGUAAACCGCUUUCGCCUGUGACGAAGCGUGAGUGACGGUAAUGGGUAAAGAAGCACCGGCUAACUACGUG
RNAcentral lists this ribosomal RNA (468 nucleotides) under uncultured bacterium. RNAcentral describes it as "partial 16S ribosomal RNA". It matches the Rfam family "Bacterial small subunit ribosomal RNA", at positions 28 to 507 of the family's 1533-position model. The record is from RNAcentral.